GACGAACGCUGGCGGCGUGCUUAACACGUGCAAGUCGAACGGAAAGGCCCUGCUUUUGUGGGGUGCUCGAGUGGCGAACGGGUGAGUAACACGUGAGUAACCUGCCCUUGACUUUUGGAUAACUUCAGGAAACUGGGGCUAAUACCGGAUAGGAGCUCCUGCUGCAUGGUGGGGGUUGGAAAGUUUCGGCGGUUGGGGAUGGACUCGCGGCUUAUCAGCUUGUUGGUGGGGUAGUGGCUUACCAAGGCUUUGACGGGUAGCCGGCCUGAGAGGGUGACCGGCCACAUUGGGACUGAGAUACGGCCCAGACUCCUACGGGAGGCAGCAGUGGGGAAUAUUGCACAAUGGGCGGAAGCCUGAUGCAGCAACGCCGCGUGCGGGAUGACGGCCUUCGGGUUGUAAACCGCUUUCGCCUGUGACGAAGCGUGAGUGACGGUAAUGGGUAAAGAAGCACCGGCUAACUACGUG
Molecule: ribosomal RNA, 468 nt
Filed under: uncultured bacterium
Lineage: Bacteria
Description: partial 16S ribosomal RNA
Rfam family: Bacterial small subunit ribosomal RNA
Source: RNAcentral